This 253-nucleotide ribosomal RNA is filed under the name uncultured bacterium. Its description in RNAcentral is "partial 16S ribosomal RNA". It matches the Rfam family "Bacterial small subunit ribosomal RNA", at positions 524 to 776 of the family's 1533-position model. The record is from RNAcentral.
UACGUAGGGGGCAAGCGUUGUCCGGAUUUAUUGGGCGUAAAGAGCGUGUAGGCGGCCUGAAAGGUCAGCUGUGAAAACUCGAGGCUCAACCUCGAGACGUCGGUUGAAACCAUCUGGCUAGAGUCCGGAAGAGGAGUGUGGAAUUUCCGGUGGAGUGGUGAAAUGCGUAGAGAUCGGAAAGAACACCAACGGCGAAAGCACUCUGCUGGGCCGACACUGACACUGAGAGACGAAAGCUAGGGGAGCGAAUGGG